Molecule: ribosomal RNA, 2250 nt
Filed under: human oral metagenome
Description: bacterial LSU rRNA
Rfam family: Bacterial large subunit ribosomal RNA
Source: RNAcentral
GAAGAGUACCGAGAGGGAAAGGUGAAAAGCACCCCUGGCGGGGAGUGAAAGAGACCUGAAUUCGUAUGCUUACAAGCGAUCGGAGCACGGCGUAUGCCUUCGGGUGUACGGGUGUGUGACGGUAUGCCUUUUGUAAAAUGAGCCGGCGAGUUAUUGUGCAUAGCGAGGUUAAGGAGCAGGAGCUCCGGAGCCGCAGGGAAACCGAGUCUGAACAGGGCGAUUAGUUUUGCAUAAUAGACCCGAAGCCCGACGAUCUAUCCAUGUCCAGGUUGAAGCUCCGGUGAAGCGGGGUGGAGGACCGAACCGAAGCCUGUUGAAAAAGUCUCGGAUGAGGUGUGGAUAGGAGUGAAAAGCUAAUCGAGUUGGGUGAUAGCUGGUUCUCCCCGAAAUGCAUUUGGGUGCAGCCCGGAAUGUUUAGUAGCGGGGGUAGAGCACUGAAUGGACGCGGGCGGUUGUAACCGUACCAAAUUCAAUCAAACUGCGAAUACCGUGACUUAAGAGUUCCGGAGUGAGACUGCGGGAGAGAAGUUUCGUAGUCGAGAGGGAAAGAGCCCAGAUCCACGGCUAAGGUCCCAAAGACAUGCUAAGUGUGGCAAGGAUGUGACGAUGCCCGGACAGCCAGGAGGUUGGCUCAGAAGCAGCCAUCCUUUAAAGAGUGCGUAAUAGCUCACUGGUCGAGGAUUGUUGCGCCGAAAAUACAGGGGGCUAAGCAUGUCACCGAAGCCUGGAGAUUGACUUUAAGGAGUCGAAUCGGUAGGGGAGCGUUGUAUGUGGGGCGAAGUACGGUCGGAAGGACGUGUGGACUGCAUACAAGAGAGAAUGCCGGCAUGAGUAACGCGAAGUGUGUGAGAAUCACACUCACCGGAAGUCCAAGGGUUCCUGGGGAAGGUUGAUCCGCCCAGGGUAAGGCGGGGCCUAAGGUCAGGCCGAAAGGCGUAGCUGAUGGACAACAGGUUGCUAAUCCUGUCCCGCGAUGAGUUCGUUAAGACGAUGGAGUGACGCAGGAGGCUAGGUGCGCCGGGUGAUGGACCCCGGUCCAAGGGAGCGGCCUGACGAGGGAGGGAAAACCCCCUUGUUAAAGGUUAGACCUGAUGGGGAGCGAACCGCGAGGGGAGCGAAGGUAUUGAAGCCAGGCUGCCAGGAAAAGCUUCUAAGGAGAACUCAUAGCGCCCGUACCCGAAACCGACACAGGUGGACUGGCUGAGGAGGCUAAGGUGAGCGGGAGAACUAUCGUUAAGGAACUCUGCAAAUUGACCCCGUAACCUAGGGAGAAGGGGUGCCACGCUUGGUGCAAGCUGAGGGUGGUCGCAGAAACCAGGCACAGGCGACUGUUUACUAAAAACACAGGACUCUGCAUAAGGCGCAAGCCGAAGUAUAGGGUCUGACACCUGCCCGGUGCUGGAAGGUUAAAUGGAGGGGUUAGUACAGUGAUGUGCGAAGCUCUGAAAUGAAGCCCCAGUAAACGGCGGCCGUAACUAUAACGGUCCUAAGGUAGCGAAAUUCCUUGUCGGGUAAGUUCCGACCUGCACGAAAGGUGUAACGAUCUGUGCGCUGUCUCGACGGUAGGCCCGGUGAAAUUGUGGUCCUGGUAAAGACGCCAGGUACCCGUGGUGGGACGGAAAGACCCCAUGGAGCUUUACUGUAACUUAGUAUUGAAUUUUGUCCUACGAUGCACAGGAUAGGUGGGAGGCGUUGAGGCUGGGAUUUUGGUUCCAGUUGAGCCACCGUUGGGAUACCACCCUUUGUAUGAUGAAAUUCUAACCCGGAGGCGUUGAAACACGCGCGGGGACAUUGCUAGGCGGGCAGUUUGACUGGGGCGGUCGCCUCCCAAAGAGUAACGGAGGCGCGCAAAGGUCACCUCAGGGCGAAUGGAAACCGCCCUCUGAGAGCGUAAGCGUAUAAGGUGGCUUGACUGUGAGACGGACGUGUCGAACAGGAACGAAAGUUGGUGCUAGUGAUCCGGUGGUGCCGAAUGGAAGGGCCAUCGCUCAACGGAUAAAAGCUACCCUGGGGAUAACAGGCUGAUCUCGCCCGAGAGUUCCAAUCGACGGCGUGGUUUGGCACCUCGAUGUCGGCUCAUCGCAUCCUGGGGCUGAAGCAGGUCCCAAGGGUUGGUCUGUUCGCCCAUUAAAGCGGUACGUGAGCUGGGUUUAGAACGUCGUGAGACAGUUCGGUCCCUAUCCACCAUGGGCGUAAGGUAUUUGAGGAGAGCUGUUCCUAGUACGAGAGGACCGGAAUGGACGAACCGCU